GGUUGUGGAGGAUAUAGAGUACCUCAAGUUUGAGAAGGGUCCUUGGCUGGAGCAAGAUGACGUCACUUUCCACCAUAUGUGAAUGCUGGUGGAGGACAAACAAAGAGUAGCCAACAUGACCUGCAUCCCCAGAUAUCUUCCAGAAGUCACAGUCGGUGCUCAUGAGUUUGAUGCUGCCUACUAUGCUUUCAAAUCGCUCCCAGGAAAGAAAUACGCUGAAGGCUAUAAUGAAGACGUCGGGGACAAAGGCAUCUGGCUGAAGUGAGAAUCGCUGUUGUCGCUGGAGGGAAGGACAUCUGAAAGACCGUUUCCUUGUGGUAUUUCAGCCGUUCGCCCAUGUCUUGUGGGGAAAGAUAUAUUCUGCUCUUAUGUAGCUGAAGAUAUCAUUGUACAUUGCUAUUGAAACCUUUAUUGUAUAUGUUAAA
Long non-coding RNA from Carassius carassius (crucian carp), 425 nucleotides. RefSeq lists it as uncharacterized. NCBI's taxonomy places the organism in Eukaryota, Metazoa, Chordata, Actinopteri, Cypriniformes, Cyprinidae. The transcript is spliced from 3 exons. The record is from RefSeq and is a predicted model, not a curated record.